Mus caroli (Ryukyu mouse) is the source of this 1085-nucleotide non-coding RNA. Lineage: Eukaryota; Metazoa; Chordata; Mammalia; Rodentia; Muridae. The record is from RefSeq and is a predicted model, not a curated record.
GGUUGCUGGUGUUUGCGGGUUGCAGGGAGCCGGGCCGGCGGUCGGGCUGUGUCGCGAUGCUGGAGCUGGCGGUGCAGAAGGUGGUGGUUCACCCCCUGGUGCUGCUCAGUGUGGUGGAUCAUUUCAACCGAAUUGGCAAGGUUGGAAACCAGAAGCGGGUAGUUGGUGUGCUUUUGGGAUCAUGGCAAAAGAAAGUACUUGAUGUGUCCAACAGUUUUGCAGUACCUUUUGGUGAAGAUGACAAAGAUGAUUCUGUCUGGUUUUUAGACCAUGAUUAUUUGGAAAACAUGUAUGGGAUGUUCAAGAAGGUCAAUGCCAGAGAAAGGAUAGUUGGGUGGUACCACACAGGCCCCAAACUACACAAGAAUGAUAUCGCCAUCAAUGAACUCAUGAAGAGAUACUGUCCCAACUCAGUAUUGGUCAUUAUCGACGUGAAGCCAAAGGACCUGGGACUUCCCACCGAAGCCUACAUCUCAGUGGAGGAAGUUCAUGAUGAUGGGACACCAACAUCAAAAACUUUUGAGCAUGUGACUAGCGAGAUUGGAGCAGAGGAGGCGGAGGAAGUCGGAGUGGAGCACUUACUAAGAGACAUCAAGGACACUACAGUGGGGACUCUCUCCCAGCGGAUCACAAACCAGGUCCAUGGCUUGAAGGGACUGAACUGCAAGCUCCUGGAUAUCAGGAGCUACCUGGAGAAGGUAGCCAGCGGCAAGCUGCCCAUCAACCACCAGAUCAUAUACCAGCUGCAGGACGUCUUCAACCUGCUGCCGGACUCCAGCCUGCAGGAGUUCGUCAAGGCCUUCUACCUGAAGACCAAUGACCAGAUGGUGGUGGUGUACCUGGCCUCGCUGAUCUGCUCUGUGGUCGCCUUGCAUAACCUCAUCAACAACAAGAUUGCCAACCGGGAUGCCGAGAAGAAGGACGGACAGGAAAAGGAGGAGAGCAAGAAGGAGAGAAAAGACGACAAAGAGAAGGAGAAGAGCAACACGGCAAAGAAAGAAGAGAAAAAAAGGAGAAAAAGUAAAUGGUGUAGCUUUUUAAUUAGUGAAUUAAAAUCUUAUAACCGUAACUCCGUGUGCCACUAA